UUGGAAGGUCGUUUUUAAGCUUGAGAAUGGUAAUAGACAUCCAGGUGGAGAUGACUAGGCGGCAGAUGAGUCUGGAGUUCAGGGCAGCUCUCCAUCGAUAUUUCUAGCUCGCUUUGUCUACAGUCAUGGAAGAAAUAAAGGUAAAAUGAGCUAACAAAUGUCACAACAAAUUGAAAAGAAACCAACAACUAACUGACUUGAGUGCUUCUUGGACAACCCUUCUUGCUUUUCUUCAACGUUUUUUGCCAUUCUUCCUUUGUCCAGUGGUGAAUUAACAGAACCUUGUUUUCUGUUCUAAGCAAUUACCCUCGAGACGGAAGUCCUGAUAAACAAGAAAGAGAUGCUGGGGAUAGAGGGUGGGUGUGUGGGGAGACACAGAAAGCACCCCUGACCUUUCACCCUGGGGUUUGACACUGUGCGUCCCCAGGCCAGCACUGGCCCUUGGGAGGAUAACUGACUCCUCACUGCAAUGAGAGGUUGUGACCAAUUCUGUUCCCUGCUGAGUUCUCUGCACCCCAG
RNAcentral lists this long non-coding RNA (519 nucleotides) under Homo sapiens (human). RNAcentral describes it as "non-protein coding lnc-MYOM1-2:8". Lineage: Eukaryota; Metazoa; Chordata; Mammalia; Primates; Hominidae. The record is from RNAcentral.